RNAcentral lists this ribosomal RNA (500 nucleotides) under uncultured bacterium. RNAcentral's name for it is "partial 16S ribosomal RNA". It matches the Rfam family "Bacterial small subunit ribosomal RNA", at positions 29 to 523 of the family's 1533-position model. The record is from RNAcentral.
AUUGAACGCUGGCGGCAUGCCUUACACAUGCAAGUCGAACGGCAGCACGGGAGCAAUCCUGGUGGCGAGUGGCGAACGGGUGAGUAAUACAUCGGAACGUGCCCAGUAGUGGGGGAUAGCCCGGCGAAAGCCGGAUUAAUACCGCAUACGACCUACGGGUGAAAGCGGGGGAUCGCAAGACCUCGCGCUAUUGGAGCGGCCGAUGGCAGAUUAGCUUGUUGGUGGGGUAAAGGCCCACCAAGGCGACGAUCUGUAGCUGGUCUGAGAGGACGACCAGCCACACUGGGACUGAGACACGGCCCAGACUCCUACGGGAGGCAGCAGUGGGGAAUUUUGGACAAUGGGCGCAAGCCUGAUCCAGCCAUGCCGCGUGCGGGAAGAAGGCCUUCGGGUUGUAAACCGCUUUUGUCAGGGAAGAAACGGUCUGAUCUAAUAAGUCGGACUAAUGACGGUACCUGAAGAAGAAGCUCCGGCUAAAUUCGUGCCAGCCGCCGCCGUAA